UUACCGAGUUUACAACUCCCAAACCCCUGUGAACAUACCAAUUGUUGCCUCGGCGGAUCAGCCCGCUCCCGGUAAAACGGGACGGCCCGCCAGAGGACCCCUAAACUCUGUUUCUAUAUGUAACUUCUGAGUAAAACCAUAAAUAAAUCAAAACUUUCAACAACGGAUCUCUUGGUUCUGGCAUCGAUGAAGAACGCAGCAAAAUGCGAUAAGUAAUGUGAAUUGCAGAAUUCAGUGAAUCAUCGAAUCUUUGAACGCACAUUGCGCCCGCCAGUAUUCUGGCGGGCAUGCCUGUUCGAGCGUCAUUUCAACCCUCAAGCCCAGCUUGGUGUUGGGACUCGCGAGUCAAAUCGCGUUCCCCAAAUUGAUUGGCGGUCACGUCGAGCUUCCAUAGCGUAGUAGUAAAACCCUCGUUACUGGUAAUCGUCGCGGCCACGCCGUUAAACCCCAACUUCUGAAUGUUGACCUCGGAUCAGGUAGGAAUACCCGCUGAACUUAAGCAUAUCAAUAAGCGGAGGAAAAGAAACCAACAGGGAUUGCCCUAGUAACGGCGAGUGAAGCGGCAACAGCUCAAAUUUGAAAUCUGGCUCUCGGGCCCGAGUUGUAAUUUGUAGAGGAUACUUUUGAUGCGGUGCCUUCCGAGUUCCCUGGAACGGGACGCCAUAGAGGGUGAGAGCCCCGUCUGGUUGGAUGCCAAAUCUCUGUAAAGUUCCUUCGACGAGUCGAGUAGUUUGGGAAUGCUGCUCUAAAUGGGAGGUAUAUGUCUUCUAAAGCUAAAUACCGGCCAGAGACCGAUAGCGCACAAGUAGAGUGAUCGAAAGAUGAAAAGCACUUUGAAAAGAGAGUUAAAAAGUACGUGAAAUUGUUGAAAGGGAAGCGUUUAUGACCAGACUUGGGCUUGGUUAAUCAUCUGGGGUUCUCCCCAGUGCACUUUUCCAGUCCAGGCCAGCAUCAGUUUUCGCCGGGGGAUAAAGACUUCGGGAAUGUGGCUCUCUUCGGGGAGUGUUAUAGCCCGUUGUGUAAUACCCUGGCGGGGACUGAGGUUCGCGCAUC
Molecule: ribosomal RNA, 1053 nt
Filed under: Fusarium verticillioides
Lineage: Eukaryota; Fungi; Ascomycota; Sordariomycetes; Hypocreales; Nectriaceae
Description: eukaryotic LSU rRNA
Rfam family: Eukaryotic large subunit ribosomal RNA (bases 463-1053)
Source: RNAcentral